Long non-coding RNA from Oncorhynchus keta (chum salmon), 2747 nucleotides. RefSeq lists it as uncharacterized. The transcript has 2 exons. The record is from RefSeq and is a predicted model, not a curated record. NCBI's taxonomy places the organism in Eukaryota, Metazoa, Chordata, Actinopteri, Salmoniformes, Salmonidae.
AAAUGGCUUAAGGACAACAAAGUCAAUGUAUUGGAGUGGCCAUCACAAAGCCCUGACCUCAAUCCCGUAGAAAAUUUGUGUGCAGAACUGAAAAAGCGUGUGCGAGAAAGGAGGCCUUCAAACCUGACUCAGUUACAGCAACUCUGUCAGGAGGAAUGGGCCAAAAUUCUUCCAACUUGUUGUGGGAAGCUUGUGGAAGGCUACCCAAAACAUUUGACCCAAGUUAAACAAUUUUAAAGGCAAUGCUACCAACUACUAAUUGAGUGUAUGUAAACUUCUGACCCACUGGGAAUGUGAUGAAAUACAUAAAAGCUUAAAUAAAUCAUUCUCUCUACUAUUAUUCUGACAUUUCACAUUCUUAAAAUAAAAGGUGAUCCUCACUGACCUAUGACGGAAUUUUUACAAGGAUUAAAUGUCAGGAAUUGUGAAAAACGGGAAGUACUGGUGUUGAAGGUGCUGCAGCGCUCCCUGGUGGUGAGAUGGUAAAACUGCAAAGAUUUGUGUUGCAACAAGGGAUGUCUGAUGAUGAUGAUGGUCUGUCAGUGAGGGGAUUAUCACUGGCCCCAUUAUGAAGUACUUCAUUUAUCUCCGACGUAUGUUAAAAAUAUACUGUAACUAUGGCAAACUAGACAAGACAUGCCAUUAUGCUUGAAUUAAUACUACAUACUACAAUAGAUACUGUUAGUCUGGGUGAUAAUAAUCCUGGAUUUAACUCAUAUUUGACCACAGGAGGGCAGUGUAAAUCAACAUACUUAUACUACAGUACUUGGGUCAUUCUUAGGCUGCGGAAAUAUUUGAAAAUGAUAUAUAUACAUAUGUUUUUUUUUACUAAAAUAAAUGCAUUUUCUGAACAGCGCACGACAUUAAGUAGAUAUUAAACCUUCAAGAAAACCCAUUCUCCCACCUCAGGCAUUAAAGCCCUUGUUUAUUAAUGUCCAUUUCUGUCUGAUGUGGGCGCCAUUUAUCUUCAACCUCGUCACAGACAAUAUGGAAGUUGUCUGAAUGUAAAAAAUAUACAUUUACCUGAUGCUCAUGUGUUCCCUCAAAACCUGUUCAAUUAUUAUGAAUAUAAAAUGUAAAAUCUCUGAAUGUGGCUUUAUGAAACUCUGAGAUAAGACACAUUAUGUGUCAGCAGGUUCAUCAUUUCAAUAAAAACAAGCUUUCAAUUCAGCAUUUUAACAUGUGAACAGCAAUAAGGUCUCAGUCAGACAUGGAAGAGUGAACAGCAAUAAGGUCUCAGUCAGACAUGGAAGAGUGAACAGCAAUAAGGUCUCAGUCAGACAUGGAAGAGUGAACAGCAAUAAGGUCUCAGUCAGACAUGGAAGAGUGAACAGCAAUAAGGUCUCAGUCAGACAUGGAAGAGUGAACAGCCCAAUAAGGUCUCAGUCAGACAUGGAAGAGUGAACAGCAAUAAGGUCUCAGUCAGACAUGGAAGAGUGAACAGCCCAAUAAGGUCUCAGUCAGACAUGGAAGAGUGAACAGCCCAAUAAGGUCUCAGUCAGACAUGGAAGAGUGAACAGCCCAAUAAGGUCUCAGUCAGACAUGGAAGAGUGAACAGCCCAAUAAGGUCUCAGUCAGACAUGGAAGAGUGAACAGCCCAAUAAGGUCUCAGUCAGACAUGGAAGAGUGAACAGCAAUAAGGUCUCAGUCAGACAUGGAAGAGUGAACAGCCCAAUAAGGUCUCAGUCAGACAUGGAAGAGUGAACAGCCCAAUAAGGUCUCAGUCAGACAUGGAAGAGUGAACAGCCCAAUAAGGUCUCAGUCAGACAUGGAAGAGUGAACAGCAAUAAGGUCUCAGGUGACAAAAACAGAGCAUAAGAGAGAUUCUCAGGGUUCUCUGAUAAAAAAAUCUUCUGUGCAGGUUUUUCAUGGUGUCCUCCAGGAACCUUUUCUGCAUCUUGACUUCCUGCACAGUGAUCGUUUGUUUCCUCCCAGUUGUGAUCCGGCUCACAUCAUCUCCUAAAAAUAAUGCCUUGACCUUUCUCUGGAAUGCAUCGGUGUGCCGGUUAGUGUGCUUCCUUUCAAAGGUGCAAAGGCAUUGCCUCUCCAGAUGUCGCGUGACGGGGUUGAUUUUUUGGGGCUCAAAAUGGCCUCUGCUCCUCAUGUGGUGAAGGACAGGAGACCACAUGGUGUGCAUGAAAUGAAUAGAUUGUAUAUUUUUUAUGGGUUAAAGUAUCAUUUUGAAAAGUACUAGUUUUCCAUCUUUAUUUCAUGUGACCGGGUUGAGUAGGUCAGCUCGACCAUCCCCACCUGACUUUAAAAAACAACCAAACACAGAUAUAAAACAACGUGAUUACUUGCCUGUUUCUGUACCAUGAAGAUGUAAAUUGUUAAAUGAUGUCACUUCCUGUUAAUGAUGGCACAUAAAGGGUGGACUGAGCAUUUCUAUUAGCAGAGUUUGGUUGGUGUGACGGGGUUGAGUAUAGACUGAGGGACAGAGGGCAAUUUGUGUCAUUUUAAUCAAUAAUCAUGUAUUUAUUUGAUAAAAAUACAUUCUCAACAAAAUAACACACAUCUGAUUACAUUAAUGGAAGAAGUUAUUAAUUAUGUGCACAUUUUCAUAUUAAUUUCCCAAGUAAAAAUUAUGUCAAACGCCUGGGGGACAUGACACAAUUCUUAGUGUCAGUUAAAAAAUAAGAUGUUUUUUAUAAUAAGGUUUCAAUUAAUACUAUAUUUAUUUCAAUUCAUUAUACUGGACAUUUCAAUGUUUAUACAAAAUCUGUUAACGUUUCAUUUCGGUGACCCAA